Molecule: long non-coding RNA, 5580 nt
Organism: Brachypodium distachyon (stiff brome)
Lineage: Eukaryota; Viridiplantae; Streptophyta; Magnoliopsida; Poales; Poaceae
Exons: 2
Source: RefSeq, a predicted model, not a curated record
UUUUCCUGACCACGUUGUUUUUUCUCACAGAAUCCCCAAUCUCACAGAAAACGCCGCCGCUCGUUUCCCUUACAGAAUCCCCAAUCUCACAUCUCAGCACCGCCCGGGGAUUGCCGGCCGCUGCCGCCCAGGCCCGCCUUGCUGCCGCCGGGGCCAAUUUCGCCGCCGCGUCUGCUAUGUCCUGUCGGCCGUCGCCACCGUGGCAAAUCGAGGCCACUUCCGCCUUGAGCCGCGCCUGUCGCGGCCACCUCCUCAACCACCGUCGGUGCCUCCUCUUCGCCUCGCUGGCGCCUCCUCAACCAGCACCGCCAGCCUGAGCGGAGGAACGGGGGCAUCCGGUUCAGGGGAGAAAGAGGGCAGCGCGGAGCGGCUGUGUGGGAGCGCCAGAGGUUGGCGGCGACGGGAGGAGGUGCCGAGUUCACCGUCGAGUGCGAGCUUCACCGGGGCGCAUCGAGCACGGCCCACGGAUCGGGCACACCGAGAGCAUAAAGUUGUAUCAAGGUUAGGUUAGAUCCUUCUCACAUCUUCCUCCAAACCCUCCAGAUCUAUCCUAGGUUUCUCUAUCGUUUUUUUUUGGUCGGGUUCUAAUUAAGUUUGCCCCUGAUUCGAUUUCGUUUUGUGCUAUGUAUCGAUAUUGUUCUUGUAAAGUAAGAGCCAAAAUGCAGAUUAGGUCAAGCUAUCCCUAUGUUUUCAAAUCAGGCUAGGUUAAUUUGAUGUGGAUAAUCAAUUUUGCAUGUACCUAAUUGUGCAGGUUCAAGGUUUAAUCCCCAAUUCGAUUCGUCGUGUGCCAAUUUAGUUAUAGGUUAUAGUGAACAUUUUUCCUCAAGCAACUGUGUUGAAUUAGAAGUUGUACCAAAUUAGGCUAAAAUUAACUUCCUAAACUUUGUUGAAUCAUGAGUUGCUAGGCUAAUUGCAUAAUUAUUUGCUUCUGGGCCACUCAACUAUUAUUGCUCCAUAUAUAGACUAAAAGUCUGCCUAAAGUCUGAAACUAGUUCUCUUUUUUCAGUUCUGUUAUUUGGUUGUUAUCAUCAGAUCUAUAUUUUGUGGGAAUCUGGUUUUCUCAGUGUUUUUGCUGAAAAAAAGAGAUCUGUUUUUGCAAUAUAUAGGUUACCUGGUUCUAAUAUAUAGGUUGCCUAGUCUCGUCCAUUUCUGAAAUUGUCAACUUAAAAACCUUGAUCAAAAUGCAGAGAAGUCUAAGGUGUACACAAAAAAUAUAUGAAAAGUUUAGAUCUAAACAUGCCUUUUUUCUUAACCGGCCCUUUUUGCUAGUAGAUUGGGCUCUUGCCUCGUCGAAAUGCAGAACAGUCAAUGGUGUACACAAAAAAUAUAUGAGAGGUUUAUAUGAUUAAUUAAAAGUAAAGAUAUCCUUAAAGACUUCAAAUUGUCAACUCGAAACUCAAAAGAAAUGCAAACCAAUCUAAGAUUUACACAAAAAAAUAUUGGUCAUCUUCGUCUUGGAUAUUGACUGGAGCGACAACUCCAUCAUCAAUGUAGGUGUCAUCAGGAUCAAGGUCUUCGUCUGCUAUGUCCUCAUCACCGGUUCAGGCAUGGGUGAAGCACGCACAUUCUCAAUAACUGAAGCAUCACCACUGACCCCUUCCACGUCGGUCCUACGCCAAACUGUCAACUCAUCUUGAUUAUGUUGAACAUUCAUAUGUUCCACUCCUACUACGAGUGAGUCAGCAUCGGUAUCAGCAACAAUAUUAGAACUGUCUUCUCCUUCAGGCAUUGCAAACAGGUUCCUAGGUUUCAGUCUAAGGACGCUGCACCAAUUAGCUCUCUUAGCGGUUUUCACAUAACACACCUGCUCUGCCUGUGUGGCCAGGAUGUAUGGCUCGUCUGCAUAUCGACGCAAAGUGGUAUCAAUAUCGAUGAUCCCAUAUUGAUCUUUAUUGAACCCUCUUGAUUUCGUCCUAUUUGCUCCAGGAACAUCAAACCACUCGAACAAUACGACUUCCUUCUUGUCAGGAAAUUCAAGGGUAAUGAUUCUUUUAAGAACUCCGUACCACUCCAUGCCAUCACCCAUGACAACAACACCACUGUUCUGAGUGACUAGGGAUUUCUCUAGAUCAAUGGUCCGAAAGAGAAAGCCAUUAAUGACACACCUAUUGGACACACGAACUCGAUGAUCUGGACCACGAGAUAGAUUAUAUAGAUUUUCUUCGACUUCUCCCUGUUCAUGCAGUGUCCCAAUCUGCAGUUACAGUUACAUGUGAAAUAUAUUAGUAAUAUACAUACAAAAUUGACAAGGUACAAAUGAUCCGAGAUAUAUCGCUCACUUUACGUUCAAACCAAGACACAAAUUGUUUCUUGUGCCUUUCUUCAACUUUGUGCAUGCUGGUUUUCCUCAAUUCAGCCAUAUGCUGUCUGAAAAUUUGUUAAUAAUCUCCUCAGUUAAAUGUAUAGUCAGCACAUAAAUACUAGAAAUUUCUAAUAAUAAAAAUUUCACAUGAAACUUACUCUAUCCAAUCGUUGGUCUCUUCACUGUUUGAAAGUAUGUAGUACCUCAUCUUCUGCAAGACAGAAUCAGGUACAGUCUCGAGACUUACUAUGGCACGAUCGAAGUCCAAUUUCCCAAAUACACUUAGCCCAGAAGGUGGUUCAUCAGCGCUCUGUACAUGACGAUCUGCCUUGUUCUCCUUUGUAGAAAUGUCAUCAAAGAACCGAGAACAGAAUGUAGUGCACUCCUCCAAGAUAUAUCCCUCUGCUAUUGAACCUUCUGGCAGCGCUUUGUUCCUCACAUAGCCUUUCAGGGUACGUAGAUACCUCUCUAUUGGAUACAUCCAUCUAUAGCAAACCGGGCCUCCAAGUCUAGCCUCUUCAGCUAAACGCUGGUGGGAAUAUCAUCUCUAAGCGACAAAGGGUCUCUGAAAUCAAAAUGCUAAGUUUUUCGAGUUCAGGCACCUCCAGCUCCUUCGAACAUAUUGAGUUAAAGAAGCUGCUGAGCUGGAUCAAUGGGAUCGCUGUAACUUCAGGCAAUAUAUGGCGUACCACCAAGGGUAUAAGUUUUUGUAACAUAACAUGGUAGUCAUGACUUUUAACUCCAACAAGCUUGCAACCGGCGACGUCAACACAUCGCCUGAUAUUUGAGGCAUAACCAUCCGGCAUCUUCACCUCUUAUAGAAAUUUGUACAUGAUUUGCUUCUUUUCUUUCUCUAAGUAGUACAACCCUGGCGGCAAAGUGUAUUUACCAUCGGCGAUCUUUGGAUGCAUAUCCGUCCUUAUACCCAUAUGUUGCAGAUCAAGUCGAGCCUUCUCACCGUCCUUAGAUUUACCAUCUAUACCAAGCAAUGUCCCCAUCAAGCUCUCACAUAUGUUCUUCUCAACAUGCAUCGCAUCUAAAUUAUGGCAUAUAAGCAAUGAUUUCCAAUAAGGAAGCUCAAAAAAAAAAUACUCUUCUUCCUCCAGUUGUGCCACCUAUUAUCUUCAUCACGCUGCUUCCUCUUCCUUGAACCAAUUCCGAAAGUUACUUGCUCAAAACUAGUGUACUGCUGCAAUACCUCCUCACCACUGAGCGGCACUGGACGCUCCCUGGUUUCAUACCUGUUAUUGAAGUUGUCCUUGUUUCUUCGCCACCAGUGGUCCAAGGGCAAAAAACGGCGAUGCCCCAUGUAGCAAUGCUUCAAACCAAAUUUUAACCAAAGGUGAUCAGUAUACUGGUGACAGUAAGGACAAGUAAACUUGCCUUUCGUGCUCCAACCAGAUAACAUCGCAUAUGGAGGGAAAUCGUUUAUUGUCCAAAGCAGUAGUGCACGUAGAGUAAAAUUCUUCUUCACCUUCGCAUCCCAUGCUUCAACUCCUUUUUCCCAUAGCAAUUUAAGCUCAUCGAUCAGAGGCUGCAAAUACACAUCAAUGUUCAUUCCUGGAGAUUUAGGCCCAAGUAUCAGCAUGGACAUCAUCCAGUAAGAUUGUUUCAAGCACAACCAAGGAGGCAGGUUAUAAGGAAUUAGGAUCACCGACCAUGUAGUGUAAGUCACAUUGAGCAUCCCAAAAGGAUUGAAGCCAUCUGAUGCAAGUCCCAACCUAACAUUACGUGGAUCCAAUGCAAAUUCUUUAUACUGCUCGUCAACGUGAUUCCAUGCUAGUGAGUCGGCUGGGUGCCGCAUUUUCCCAUCAUGCACUAAUUUUUCCUUGUGCCAACGCAUAUGCAACGAUGUGAUCUCAUUCAUAUAUAAUCUUCGCAGAUGAGGAACAAGUGGAAAAUACCUAAGUAUUUUACGAGGAAGCGGAUUCUUUGCUCCAUCAGGAUCUCUCGUUUUCCACCUACUCUCCCCACAUGUUGGACACUCGUCCAUAUCUUUGUAGGCUCCACAAAAUAACACAUAGUCAUUCACACAAGCAUGAAUCUUUUCGUAGUCCAGACCAAGAUCUCAAACUACUUUUCGAACUUUAUCCAAGCUAUCUGGAACAUAAUGUCCUUCUGGGAGCAAAAGAUUGAACAAGUGAAGUAUCUGCUCCAUGCCUUGGUUGCUAAUACCGAACAUGCACUUAAUCUGAAAUAGCCUGACAAUGAAAGAUACUUUGGUAGCCUCCUUGCAACCUGGGUACAAUUCUUUCUUCGCUUCUUGCAUUAAGUUGAAGAAUUUCUUUGCAGAUUCAUUUGGCUCCUCCUUAUCACCACUUCUUGUUAUUUUUCCAUCUAUAGCACCACUGAUUAGUGAUCUAAAAAGAUCUUUGGUAGAGCCUGAAUCAUCUCGUGCUUCGGCUUCAUUGAAGUCACAAUCCUCAUCCAUAGGUUCAGCAACGCGAUGUUUCUGUUUAAUAAAAUCCUUGUCAAACCCUUUUGUCAGCAAGUGCUGUUCAACCUCUGUUUUUGUUAUGUACACUAGGCAACGACACCUACGACAUGGACAUGCCGCGGUCUGGCCUGGAUAGUUCCCUUGAAAUUCUUUCUCAAUGAAUUGCUGGAAACCGGCUUGCCACGCUUCAUCUGUAUGUGGCAAUAGCAUCCAACUCCUAUCAGCAUCGUGUGACAUCUUAAUUUACAGUUCCUGCAGCGAUGGAAAAAGAGCGACCAACUGAUUUAACACAUGCCAAACAAAUGUUUCCCUCUUCUCAAAUUAAUGAACAUGAAUAUGUAAAUUAACCAUAUAUAUAUUGACAAACUUAUUUGGGUUGAUACUUAUUUGGGUUGAAACUUGAAAGGGCUGGUCUCUACAGAUUCCUCUUCUAAUUUUGUCUGGUAGGUUGAAACUUACUCCGUAUUUGGGUUCAAAUGGAAUAAGUUCAUGAGUUAUCAGCCAUGUGAUCAGGAAGGUGAGCCUCUUCCAGGAACCGAGCUAAAAGAGGCAUCUAUCUACUUUUAUGGUAUCCAGUCCGGUGGGUACCUGUGAAGCCCUUCUAGCGAUUCAUGAAGCCCCUUCGAUUUUACAUCCUUCGUGAGCUGGGUUCAAAGCUAACUGCUAGUUGAGGCAAUUAAUUAAAGGUGCUAACAGCUAGUGAAUUCCUGUACGUUUCCAUAGGAUUUGAGUGGUCCGGGCAUUCUAUUCAGUUCCUUCCUAUGAAUUGUAAACCGAAGAGGGCUGUAAUCAUAUAUUCAAGAACAUAUAUGGAUAAUCGAUCUCAUACCUGGGUGUGCGA